Molecule: ribosomal RNA, 253 nt
Filed under: uncultured bacterium
Lineage: Bacteria
Description: partial 16S ribosomal RNA
Rfam family: Bacterial small subunit ribosomal RNA
Source: RNAcentral
UACGAAGGGGGCUAGCGUUGCUCGGAAUCACUGGGCGUAAAGCGCACGUAGGCGGUUCCUUAAGUCAGGGGUGAAAUCCCGGAGCUCAACUCCGGAACUGCCUUUGAUACUGGGGAUCUUGAGUCCGGAAGAGGUGAGUGGAACUCCGAGUGUAGAGGUGAAAUUCGUAGAUAUUCGGAAGAACACCAGUGGCGAAGGCGGCUCACUGGUCCGGUACUGACGCUGAGGUGCGAAAGCGUGGGGAGCAAACAGG